Molecule: non-coding RNA, 265 nt
Organism: Schizosaccharomyces pombe (fission yeast)
Lineage: Eukaryota; Fungi; Ascomycota; Schizosaccharomycetes; Schizosaccharomycetales; Schizosaccharomycetaceae
Source: the annotation of a GenBank genome assembly
CCACAGGAUGAUUAGCCAGCGAAGGAUCGAGAGAGAUAAAAUAAGCAGCCAAACCGGCGACAUGAGGAGAAGCCAUAGAAGUACCAGAAAGGAUCAUAGAAGCCCUGUUAGAUCCAAUCCAAUCAGACAAAAUUAAAGAACCAGGAGCAAAGAUAUCAACGCAAGAUCCAAUAUUGCUAAAAGAAGCAAUUUGAUCGUUCCAAGUAGAAGCACCAACAGUCAUUGCAUUGGAAACUCUGGCUGGAGAGGUACCGCAAGCAUCCUC